GAUGAAGAACGUAGCGAAAUGCGAUAAGUAAUGUGAAUUGCAGAAUUCAGUGAAUCAUCGAAUCUUUGAACGCACAUUGCGCCCGCCAGUAUUCUGGCGGGCAUGCCUGUUCGAGCGUCAUUACAACCCUCAGGCCCCCGGGCCUGGCGUUGGGGAUCGGCGGAGCCCCCCGUGGGCACACGCCGUCCCCCAAAUGCAGUGGCGGUCCCGCCGCAGCUUCCAUCGCGUAGUAGCUAACACCUCGCGACUGGAGAGCGGCGCGGCCACGCCGUAAAACACCCAACUCUUCUGAAGUUGACCUCGAAUCAGGUAGGAAUACCCGCUGAACUUAAGCAUAUCAAUAAGCAGAGGA
Molecule: unclassified non-coding RNA, 352 nt
Filed under: soil metagenome
Description: partial contains 5.8S ribosomal RNA, internal transcribed spacer 2, and large subunit ribosomal RNA
Rfam family: 5.8S ribosomal RNA (bases 1-120)
Source: RNAcentral